RNAcentral lists this non-coding RNA (264 nucleotides) under Paraburkholderia caribensis. Lineage: Bacteria; Pseudomonadati; Pseudomonadota; Betaproteobacteria; Burkholderiales; Burkholderiaceae. The record is from RNAcentral.
CUAAACUUGCGGCACUCUGGUGCCCGCGCGCGGUAUCGCGCCGCGCGCAGUUAAACGGGAAGCAGGGAGCGAAGUCCGCCCGGACGAGCCAACCUGCGCUGUCCUCGCAACGGUACAACGACCGCAGUUCCUGCAGGUCGACCCAUGCACGCGUCGAGCCAUCCAUGAGAGCCGAUGCCGUGCGAAGCGCCACUGCGCAUGCUGCGUGGGAAGGCGGGUCGGCCAGUCGUCAGCCCGGAUACCGGCCGGAGGCAAGGAGCGUGU